AUGAUGCAGGAGACAAUAGCACUGAUGAUUACUCCCGUCGGAGAUGGUAGCUCAUAUGACUGUUCUUGCAAACGGUUCCACAUGAAUGGGGUAUUGUGCCAUCACAUUCUGAAGGUUAUGAUGCAUACAAAUGUGCAAGCAAUUCCAGAAAAAUAUUUGAUUUUUAGAUUGUCUGAGGAGGCAACCAUUCGGCCUGCUAGAAGCAAGGUUGUUUGUUCAGAUGUGCCAGAGACAAAUACUUUACGAUACAGCGAGUUGUGCGUAAUGAUGGCUACCCUUGCGUCAGAUGCAUGCUUUGGUUCUGAAACAUACAAGAUUGUUGAUGGUGGGGUGGACGAGUUAAGCAUGCUAGUGUGGAAGUUUAGGUUGUCAGGUGGAUUGCCUGAGAAAGAAGCACCACAACCAGAAGCUAUAGCCUGCAGCAAUUUCAAUAAUCCUCCAAAAUCUGCGAAAAAGGGGAGACCAAAAAAGAAAGAGAAGAGGAGGAAGCCGUUGGUCGAGCUCCGACAGGAGAAGGCCAAGAAAGAAGCAAAGAAGAAGAGUUUGUGCUCGUACUGUUGCGAGGAUUGGCACAACAAGGCUAGGUGCCCAUAUUUGGCGCUCGAAAUCCAACGGCAAAAGGAAGAAGCAGAGAGGCUGAGACGAGAGAUGGAGCUCACCUUGUGA
RNAcentral lists this ribosomal RNA (666 nucleotides) under Triticum aestivum (bread wheat). RNAcentral's name for it is "partial small subunit ribosomal RNA". The record is from RNAcentral. Lineage: Eukaryota; Viridiplantae; Streptophyta; Magnoliopsida; Poales; Poaceae.